ACUCAAAGGAAUUGACGGGGGCCCGCACAAGCGGUGGAGCAUGUGGUUUAAUUCGACGCAACGCGAAGAACCUUACCCAGAUUUGACAUCCAAAGAACCUCUACGAAAGUAGGGGGUGCCUUCGGGAGCUUUGAGACAGGUGCUGCAUGGCUGUCGUCAGCUCGUGUCGUGAGAUGUUGGGUUAAGUCCCGCAACGAGCGCAACCCUCGUCCUUAGUUACCAUCAUUAAGUUGGGGACUCUAAGGAGACCGCCGGUGUUAAACCGGAGGAAGGUGGGGAUGACGUCAAGUCCUCAUGGCCUUUAUAUCUGGGGCGACACACGUGCUACAAUGGCCGGUACAAAGGGCUGCCAACCCGCGAGGGGGAGCUAAUCCCAAAAAACCGGUCUCAGUACGGAUUGAAGUCUGCAACUCGACUUCAUGAAGCUGGAAUCGCUAGUAAUCGCGCAUCAGCUCGGCGCGGUGAAUACGUUCCCGGGCCUUGUACACACCGCCCGU
Molecule: ribosomal RNA, 497 nt
Filed under: uncultured bacterium
Lineage: Bacteria
Description: partial 16S ribosomal RNA
Rfam family: Bacterial small subunit ribosomal RNA
Source: RNAcentral